AACGUAGGAGGCGAGCGUUAUCCGGAGUUACUGGGCGUAAAGCGCGUGUAGGUGGCUUGUUGCGUCUGCUGUGAAAGCUUCCGGCUUAACCGGGACUAGGCGGUAGAUACGGGCAAGCUAGAGGGUGACAGAGGAGCGUAGAAUUCCGGGUGUAGUGGUGAAAUGCGUAGAUAUCUGGAGGAACACCGGUGGCGAAGGCGGCAUCCUGGACCGGCAUUGACGCUGAGGAGCGAAAGCCAGGGGAGCAAACGGG
RNAcentral lists this ribosomal RNA (253 nucleotides) under uncultured bacterium. RNAcentral describes it as "partial 16S ribosomal RNA". It matches the Rfam family "Bacterial small subunit ribosomal RNA", at positions 524 to 776 of the family's 1533-position model. The record is from RNAcentral.